Long non-coding RNA from Haliotis rufescens (red abalone), 565 nucleotides. RefSeq lists it as uncharacterized. The record is from RefSeq and is a predicted model, not a curated record. Lineage: Eukaryota; Metazoa; Mollusca; Gastropoda; Lepetellida; Haliotidae. The transcript has 3 exons.
CGUGUUGCGUGCAUAUGAUGUCAUUAUUAGAGUGACAGUUCAGAAGUGAUGCAAGUAAGCCAUAUGUGAUUUAAUGCUCAGUGAGUAUUACUUGCAAUGCACAUGUAUAUAAGACCAGGCACAAGCGUAAUUGGACACACAACUCCAUUCACCUCGAAGAUUUGAAUCAUCCUCUACACACAGUCGUUUCCAGUACAACCAUGCAACUGAAGAUUGUUUGUCUACUUCUGGUCGCCACUGUGGCCAUGGCAACCGCCUACAGGGGUCAGUACAACUCUUUAAGGAACCACGGGCGUUACGGUCGCUACGACUACGACAUUGAGGCUCCCGACUUCCCCGACUUUGACAGCUACAUUUACAGAUAUCUGUUGACGCGAGGUCGCAAACAAGGCAGACAGAGCAAACAGAACACGAACCGCUACAACAUUUUGAGGAAUCUUGCCAGACUUGAGGCUUAUGACCUUAUUUGAGCUAGAAUACACGGGUGUGGUAUGUCAUGCAUAUGGCAUACACAGGGACAGUUGUAUUAUAUUUAACUACAUAUUUAUUUAUUAAGAAAAUAAAC